This 977-nucleotide ribosomal RNA is filed under the name human gut metagenome. RNAcentral's name for it is "bacterial LSU rRNA". It matches the Rfam family "Bacterial large subunit ribosomal RNA", at positions 1950 to 2925 of the family's 2925-position model. The record is from RNAcentral.
CCUAAGGUAGCGAAAUUCCUUGUCAGGUAAGUUCUGACCCGCACGAAUGGCGUAAUGAUUUGGGCACUGUCUCAACAGCCCGCCCGGCGAAAUUGUAGUACUGGUGAAGAUGCCAGUUACCCGCAACUAGACGGAAAGACCCCAUGGAGCUUUACUGCAGCUUAAUACUGGAAAUCGGUAAUUCAUGUACAGGAUAGGUGGGAGACAGAGAAGCAUGGUCGUCAGGUCAUGUGGAGUCGCCCUUGGGAUACCACUCUUGGAUUGCUGGUUUUCUAACCUGCGGCCGUGAAUCCGGUCGGGGGACACUGUUAGGCGGGCAGUUUGACUGGGGCGGUCGCCUCCAAAAGAGUAACGGAGGCGCUCAAAGGUUGGCUCAGCACGGACGGAAAUCGUGCACAGAGUGCAAACGCAUAAGCCAACUUGACUGCGAGACCGACGGGUCGAGCAGGUACGAAAGUAGGAGUUAGUGAUCCGGUGGUAUGUGAGUGGAAAUGCCAUCGCUCAACGGAUAAAAGCUACCCUGGGGAUAACAGGCUGAUCUCCCCCAAGCGUCCACAGCGACGGGGAGGUUUGGCACCUCGAUGUCGGCUCGUCACAUCCUGGGGCUGAAUUCGGUCCCAAGGGUUCGGCUGUUCGCCGAUUAAAGUGGCACGCGAGCUGGGUUCAGAACGUCGUGAGACAGUUCGGUCCCUAUCUGUUGCGGGCGUAGGAGAUUUGAAGGGAGCUGUCCUUAGUACGAGAGGACCGGGAUGGACAUACCUCUGGUGUACCAGUUGUUCUGCCAAGGGCACGGCUGGGUAGCUACGUAUGGACGAGAUAAACGCUGAAAGCAUCUAAGCGUGAAACUCCCCCUGAGAUAAGAUCUCCCCUCCCUCGAGGAGUAAGGCUCGACGUAGACUAUGUCGUUGAUAGGUCAGGGGUGUAAGCGUCGCAAGGCGUUAAGCUGACUGAUACUAAUAAGCCGAAAGCUUGACCUA